RNAcentral lists this unclassified non-coding RNA (329 nucleotides) under soil metagenome. RNAcentral's name for it is "partial contains 5.8S ribosomal RNA, internal transcribed spacer 2, and large subunit ribosomal RNA". The stretch from base 1 to 120 matches the Rfam family "5.8S ribosomal RNA", at positions 35 to 154 of the family's 154-position model. The record is from RNAcentral.
GAUGAAGAACGCAGCGAAAUGCGAUAAGUAAUGUGAAUUGCAGAAUUCAGUGAAUCAUCGAAUCUUUGAACGCACAUUGCGCCCCUUGGUAUUCCGAGGGGCAUGCCUGUUCGAGCGUCAUUAUAACCCCUCAAGCUCAGCUUGGUGUUGGGGCCUGCUGCACUGGCAGCCCUUAAAAUCAGUGGCGGCGCCAUCUGGCUCUAAGCGUAGUAAUUCUUCUCGCUAUGGAGUCCUGGUGGAUGCUUGCCAUCAACCCCCAAUUUUUCUAUGGUUGACCUCGGAUCAGGUAGGUAUACCCGCUGAACUUAAGCAUAUCAAUAAGCGGAGGA